This 446-nucleotide ribosomal RNA is filed under the name uncultured bacterium. RNAcentral's name for it is "partial 16S ribosomal RNA". It matches the Rfam family "Bacterial small subunit ribosomal RNA", at positions 338 to 795 of the family's 1533-position model. The record is from RNAcentral.
CCUACGGGUGGCUGCAGUCGAGAAUCAUUCACAAUGGGGGAAACCCUGAUGGUGCGACGCCGCGUGGGGGAAUGAAGGUCUUAGGAUUGUAAACCCCUGUAAUGUGGGAGCAAAUUAAAAUGAUAGUACCACAAGAGGAAGAGACGGCUAAUUCUGUGCGAGCAGCUGAGGUAAUGAAGAGGUCUCAAGCGUUGUUCGGAAUCACUGGGCGGAAAGCGUGCGUAGGCGGGUUGGUAAGGCGCGUGUGAAAGGUUGGGGCUCAACCCGCGGAAGGCAAAUGAUACUGCGAGACUAGAGUAAAGGAGGGGGAACCGGAAUUCUUGGUGUAGCGGUGAAAUGCGUAGAUAUCGUGAGGAACACUGGUGGCGAAGGCGGGUUCCUGGACAUUAACUGACGCUGAGGCACGAAGGCCAGGGGAGCAAAAGGGAUUAGAUACCCCAGUAGUC